RNAcentral lists this ribosomal RNA (200 nucleotides) under uncultured bacterium. RNAcentral describes it as "partial 16S ribosomal RNA". It matches the Rfam family "Bacterial small subunit ribosomal RNA", at positions 29 to 258 of the family's 1533-position model. The record is from RNAcentral.
AGCGAACGCUGGCGGCAGGCCUAACACAUGCAAGUCGAACGGCCCUUCGGGGCAGUGGCGGACGGGUGAGUAACGCGUGGGAACGUGCCCUUUGGUACGGAACAACUGAGGGAAACUUCAGCUAAUACCGUAUGUGCCCUUCGGGGGAAAGAUUUAUCGCCAUUGGAGCGGCCCGCGUUGGAUUAGGUAGUUGGUGGGGU